Molecule: long non-coding RNA, 460 nt
Filed under: Nicotiana benthamiana
Lineage: Eukaryota; Viridiplantae; Streptophyta; Magnoliopsida; Solanales; Solanaceae
Description: long non-coding RNA (NBEN_LNC030110)
Source: RNAcentral
AAGAAACCCACUUUUAGAGAGAGUAGCUCUACCUUCUCUCUAACCUAACACCUCUUCCACUUCUCCAACAAAUCAUCCAACCCACACGAAUCCAAUCUCCACAAACCUAGAUAUCUCAAAAAUCCUCCAAAAACCACCAGCAAAUUUAAUACUUGCUAGUACAUGAAACUAGCAUCACAUAAGUUCUUGGGUUUAGGAUUUCUGUGAAUAGUGAUUCCGUCACUAUUCAUCCGGCAUUUUUACCAGAAUCGGGCGUUGGAUUGUAGCAAUUUUGGUAUCAAAAGAAGCGUCUUUUCUUUGCACACAAUCUCCAUUUGUUUUUGUUCUCAAACUCAUAAUCAAUUUUUUCAAAUCUUAGAUUUGGUGCGUCAGUUACUGUAGCAAACUAAAACUGGGCAGAUUUGUUUUAGUUUUGUAUUCUGUUUUUGCUUUCAUCUUGAUGGAGUUUUGAAGAACCAUG